CACGCCGUAAACGAUGAUAACUAGCUGUUCGGGCUCUCAGAGCCUGAGUGGCGCAGCUAACGCAUUAAGUUAUCCGCCUGGGGAGUACGGUCGCAAGAUUAAAACUCAAAGGAAUUGACG
Molecule: ribosomal RNA, 120 nt
Filed under: uncultured bacterium
Lineage: Bacteria
Description: partial 16S ribosomal RNA
Rfam family: Bacterial small subunit ribosomal RNA
Source: RNAcentral